RNAcentral lists this ribosomal RNA (253 nucleotides) under uncultured bacterium. RNAcentral describes it as "partial 16S ribosomal RNA". It matches the Rfam family "Bacterial small subunit ribosomal RNA", at positions 524 to 776 of the family's 1533-position model. The record is from RNAcentral.
UACGGAGGGGGCUAGCGUUGUUCGGAAUUACUGGGCGUAAAGGGCGCGUAGGCGGUAGCACAAGUCAGUUGUGAAAUCUCCGGGCUUAACUCGGAAAGGUCAACUGAUACUGUGCGACUAGAGUGCAGAAGGGGCAACUGGAAUUCUCGGUGUAGCGGUGAAAUGCGUAGAUAUCGAGAGGAACACCUGCGGCGAAGGCGGGUUGCUGGGCUGACACUGACGCUGAGGCGCGAAAGCCAGGGGAGCGAACGGG